AGAACCACCACUCGCUAAUGGCUAACACUCGUUCUGGACAUUGUCCUGUUCCUGCAAGAGCGACCUUCGGCUUCCCCAAUUUGGAAUCAGGAAAACUAUUCGGUUCAGGUCAAUCUCUCCAUGAAUCAUUUUUGUCGUUGGCUGGAAUGGUGGAUUGAGAUCUUCUACCACCCUUGUGUUUCAUGUUCAGAUAUGAAGGCAUGUGUUCGUUCCUGGGCUUGUCCGCUGUCAACUGGAUAAGGCCGGCCCAGCAGAUUAUUGAAGAUGCCCAACAUAAGCACCGUAGCAGUGAAUGUGUUGAAAGGGAGUAGGCCGUUAACGAAAAGAAUGCCCGUUAGCUUCGUAAAGUCAACAUAGUUUUGAUGUGUUGCAGUAGCUGGAAGGUUUACGAGGUUAAACGGAAAUCCAUGUUGGUAACAGUCCUUUGACGUUCUUUUCUCCGGAAAUCAGCAGUUCGACAGUUGUAGAAGAUUUUCUAUGGAUGCAACAACUUGCGUGCUCUGCACAGAACUGACAUGCCUUUUAUGGGAUCCUGGAAAUUGAUUACUGAUCUAGAGCUAACAAGUUAUUCCACUACGUUGUGGAGAAAAUGGAGUCAUUCUGAACUGCAAGGGUGAAGAAAAUUGUAGAAGAAGAAAGGACAGAUAUCUAACUCGAGUUCGAAUAUGGAUGUCAUUUGCUGUGGGGUGAGAUGGGUCAAGUUGUCAAUUCCUAUAGGGACAUUCUUAAAGCUUUCCCUAUGUGCUAGCAAAAGUCAAGAUCAAAUUAUGGUGAUUGAUACUCACACACAGGUUUAACAUGGAAGAACUGCAAGUGUUGUUGUUGCAGUGGAUAAAUGGGUGGUGUUUAACAAAUGGAUGUGUAAGUUACACAUUAGCCACGAGGAUAUUCAAACUUAACAGCCAUGGAGAUGACUAAGUAAACCUGUUGGAUUGAAGGUGGUUGGUGAAAAAAAAGAUUGCAGUUCUCCGGGCGUUGUACCGUGCUACGUGGUGACAACGACCUCAUACCAGGUCUUGUAUUUGGACUCUGAACGUACGUCUAUUUUCUUUCAACGGCCGUCCUCGCAGGUUCGGUGUUGAAGCUUAACGUCGUGAAAUUCAUCUUUGUCGGAUGCCCGUCAGCAGUACUGAGCUGCUCCUUUCUAAAAUGUUUUGUUGCAUUCAUUGCCCAUAGGUGCAAUUACCACGUACAUGAAGCUUUCUGCCAAACGCGAUCGUCCAUACUUCCUGUAAAUGGAGGCUACUAGUGCGUGGGUUGACUAAGUAUAUAGCACGUAGUGGUAUUUAGGCUAGUAAUGGUAGUAAUGGAUAGUGAGUGAAUGUGGCGAUGCAGUUGUUCGCUGCAAAUUUCCAUGAACAUAUAUAUAUAUAUAUAUAGAGUAUAUUAGUCGGAGACUUGGGUUUUCAUCGUCAAUGUAAAAUGGCAGCACCUGCUGUGUGUUAUUUCUAACAAGGUUACGACAUAUUUCCACAUAGCUUGCCAUUUACGCAGUUAUUCGUAUAUUUGUUAAACAAGAGUUGAAACAGAAGUUUUGAAAAGUAGAAAGGGAAAGAAUUUUAAGAAAGUGGAACAUUAUAUUGUUUUAUGGUAGUUGUUAUGUUUAUUGCAGCAAGCUUGCAAUGCAAGGUCAGCAAUAACUUGGCAUUGAUAGCUUACAGUUAAAAAAAAAACAAAUUAAUGAAUUCUUGAUCUAAGCAAUAUAAUUUAUAUUUAUUGCAUAUUACUAUUAUUUACAGGAUUGUUGGCAGGCUAUAUCAGCCAUUUUUUAUUACAGA
Daphnia carinata is the source of this 1778-nucleotide long non-coding RNA. RefSeq lists it as uncharacterized. The record is from RefSeq and is a predicted model, not a curated record. Lineage: Eukaryota; Metazoa; Arthropoda; Branchiopoda; Diplostraca; Daphniidae. The transcript is spliced from 10 exons.